GGACGUUUCUGUUUGUCCUCCAAGGUCCUCAUAAACUAUGUAACCGAGUAGAGAGGAAUCAGAUAUACCCACUGAGCGGCGCUAUAGCCCAUGAAAAUGAUGUUUGUUAGAGAGCGCGCGGGAAAGAUCCAAGGUGACAGGAGAGCGAGGCACUUCACUGCUGCCACAGAUAAAGAACUGCAUCUGCCACCCCAUGAAAUUCAGCCAAAGAGAAAGAAGAGAUAUAAAGGGUGUGGUGUUGCCUCUUUAUGUUGAGAGCAGCAAACGUGAUGACUCCCAGACGGGGAGACAUGGCAAACCCUAAUAAUACCAACCCAUACAAUGGCUCUGACAGCCCGGCUAUAAAGCAAUCAGGGUCCCAGGCAUUCCAAAUCUCUUUAACGCCCACCCUACAGCAGUCUGGAAGAUGGGUGGCUGACCUGAGAGCUGUCAAUCACGCUGCUGUACCUGCUGGAGCUUGGGCAGAGUAGAGCCGGGAGCAUGCGGUCCAUCAGAUCUGUUUUCACACUCCCCACACUAUCACUGCAAGCGUAACCAAAAAGACAAAAAACGCCCCACUGCCCUACUCUUAAUUAGGGAGUGUGGAUAAGACUGAGGUUUGUUUGGUUUUAAAUGGAGAAUGGGAGGGCAAAACAUACAGGGGAGCGCCGAAUCCCAUGGAG
Long non-coding RNA from Cyprinus carpio carpio, 662 nucleotides. The record is from Ensembl. NCBI's taxonomy places the organism in Eukaryota, Metazoa, Chordata, Actinopteri, Cypriniformes, Cyprinidae.